CCCUUAGAUGUUCUGGGCCGCACGCGCGCUACACUGAUGCAUUCAACGAGCCUAUCCUUGACCGACAGGUCCGGGUAAUCUUUGAAUCUGCAUCGUGACGGGGAUAGAUUAUUGCAAUUAUUAAUCUUCAACGAGGAAUGCCUAGUAGGCGCAAGUCAUCAGCUUGCGUCGAUUACGUCCCUGCCCUUUGUACACACCGCCCGUCGCUCCUACCGAUUGGGUGUGCUGGUGAAAUGUUCGGAUCUGCCGUUUGUCGCGGUUUCCGCGUCAUGUGGCUGAGAAGUUCAUUAAACCCUCCCACCUAGAGGAAGGAGAAGUCGUAACA
This 325-nucleotide ribosomal RNA is filed under the name uncultured eukaryote. RNAcentral describes it as "partial 18S ribosomal RNA". It matches the Rfam family "Eukaryotic small subunit ribosomal RNA", at positions 1470 to 1796 of the family's 1831-position model. The record is from RNAcentral.